AGAGUUUGAUCAUGGCUCAGAGCGAACGCUGGCGGCAGGCUUAACACAUGCAAGUCGAGCGGGCGUAGCAAUACGUCAGCGGCAGACGGGUGAGUAACGCGUGGGAACGUACCUUUUGGUUCGGAACAACCCAGGGAAACUUGGACUAAUACCGAAUAAGCCCUUACGGGGAAAGAUUUAUCGCCGAAAGAUCGGCCCGCGUCUGAUUAGCUAGUUGGUGAGGUAACGGCUCACCAAGGCGACGAUCAGUAGCUGGUCUGAGAGGAUGAUCAGCCACAUUGGGACUGAGACACGGCCCAAACUCCUACGGGAGGCAGCAGUGGGGAAUAUUGGACAAUGGGCGCAAGCCUGAUCCAGCCAUGCCGCGUGAGUGAUGAAGGCCCUAGGGUUGUAAAGCUCUUUUGUGCGGGAAGAUAAUGACGGUACCGCAAGAAUAAGCCCCGGCUAACUUCGUGCCAGCAGCCGCGGUAAUACGAAGGGGGCUAGCGUUGCUCGGAAUCACUGGGCGUAAAGGGUGCGUAGGCGGGUCUUUAAGUCAGGGGUGAAAUCCUGGAGCUCAACUCCAGAACUGCCUUUGAUACUGAAGAUCUUGAGUUCGGGAGAGGUGAGUGGAACUGCGAGUGUAGAGGUGAAAUUCGUAGAUAUUCGCAAGAACACCAGUGGCGAAGGCGGCUCACUGGCCCGAUACUGACGCUGAGGCACGAAAGCGUGGGGAGCAAACAGGAUUAGAUACCCUAGUAGUCC
RNAcentral lists this ribosomal RNA (744 nucleotides) under uncultured bacterium. RNAcentral describes it as "bacterial SSU rRNA". It matches the Rfam family "Bacterial small subunit ribosomal RNA", at positions 8 to 796 of the family's 1533-position model. The record is from RNAcentral.